Molecule: long non-coding RNA, 222 nt
Filed under: Panax ginseng (ginseng)
Lineage: Eukaryota; Viridiplantae; Streptophyta; Magnoliopsida; Apiales; Araliaceae
Description: long non-coding RNA (PGIN_LNC016646)
Source: RNAcentral
UGUAAUAUGCCAUGCCACCAAUUAUAUGUACAGGGGGGUUAAGUGUAAUUUUCCAACCAAAAGCUAGGGAAAAGACUAAAUUACCCUCACUCUUAAACUCCUAUAGAUAGCAAGACUUCCUACUCAUUUUUUCCUCACCAAUUCACAAGUUUCCAAAUAGAAACACUAGAUUUUAUAUACGAGAGGAAGUGAGAGCUCGGGUUUUGUACGAGGAAAGGCGAG